CGCCUUAUUUGGUCGUUCUAAUGAAACCUCUUCUGUUGCUGAAAACAAGACUAGACAGCAGUGAUUUGUUCUAAUCUCUAGAGCAAGGAUGUCUUAAUCUGAAGAGCAGUUUUAUCUAAAGCGGUUGGUCUUAGCAUAGCUAGAAUGUUCUGUACCUCGGUCGUAAAAUACCACUAUAAACUCUUUAGUAGUGCUAUUCUUUCAAUCGAAGCCUACGUUUUAUUUUUAUAUCAACGGCACUCAAGAAUGUCCGAUUUACACCAAUACAUAUACAAAAAAACUUCACAGAUCGAUAAAAUAUGAAUAAUCGUCUGGAACUUCAAAAGGAAAAGAUGUUACCGAUUAAAAUAUGAUUCGAGGAAGAAAAAAAUAGAGAUUGAAAAAUACUAGUCUUCACUGUGACUCCAUUGGCCGACAUGUUAGUUUUCUAUUGAACAAAGGGACAAGGAAUCUCCAGAGAGUUCCAAGCACACCAACACCCAACCAGGUUUCGAUUCCCAUUUCAUUUCACUGACAUUCUGAGAACCAACAUGGUCACUCAACUUGCUAGAAAUAACUAUCUCAUUCGUUCAAGUUACACCCUACCAUGUUUGCAAAGAAGUUCCAUAAAGAUGUCCUGCAUUCUUGAGACACAGUUCUUGUUGCUGGUUACGAAGGAGGAGAAAGCAAAACGCUGAUUUCUAUGGAGGUCUGAAGAGCCACUACAUUUCUGUCCCAUGUUCAAAUACCAAUGUUUAUCCCCUCAGAUUUUCUUUUAGAGUUCAGAGCAAGCCUUGAAAGUUAUAUGAGCACUGAAUACAUCAAUGUAAACAAUGCAACUGAAGAUAGAAAAAAAAAAGGCACAAGGCCCAACAUUUUUGUGGAGAGGACCAGUCGAUUGGAUCAACCCCAGUAUGCAACUGGUACUUAAUUUAUUGACCCCGAAAGAAUGAAAGGCAAAAUUGAACUCCGUGGAAUUUGAACUCAGAACGCAAAGACAAACAAAAUACCUAUUUCGUUAUUGCCCACAAGGGGCUAAACAUAGAGGGAACAAACAAGAACAGACGAACGGAUUAAGUUGAUUACAUCGACCCCAGUGCUUAACUGGUACUUAAUUUAUCGACCCCGAAAGGAUGAAAGGCAAAGUUGACCUCGGCGGAAUUUGAACUCAGAACGUAAUGGCAGACGAAAUACCACUAAGCAUUUCGUCCGGCGUGCUAACGAUUCUGCCAGCUCGCCGCUAAGCAUUUCACCUGGCAUGCUAACGUAACCAUAUAUAUGUUUAUAUGACAAGCUUCUUUUAGUUUCCUUCUACAAAAUCUGCUAACAAGGUUUUGGACGACAGGAGGGUAUAGUAGAAGACACUUGCCCAAGGUGCCAUGAAGUGGGACUGAACCCGGAACCAUGUGGUUGGGAAGCAAGCUUCAUACCUUACAGCCACACAUACACCUGUAUGUUUGAAAAUAAUGUUUUGGAUUUUUGCAGAUCAUUUCUUCUGCAAUGAAAAGAAAACUGAAUCUAACAGUGAGAUCUCCAUCAGAUCUCACUCUGUUUUCAGAAAAAGAAACGAUAGAUGCAGAUAUGACUACAUGGUAAGAAGUUUACUUCCCAACCGCAUGGUCCCAGGUUCAGUCUCAAUGCAUAGCACCUCGGGUAAUUGUCUCCUACUACUGCCCCAGGCUGACCAAAGCCUUGACUGGAUUCAGCAGUUGGAAACUGAAAGAAGCUAGUUGCGUAUUAAACACACACUCAUAUAUAUAUGAAUGUGUAUGCAUUACUCAUAUAUAUAUAUAUAUAUAUAUAUAUAUAUAU
This is a long non-coding RNA of Octopus bimaculoides (California two-spot octopus), 1791 nucleotides long. RefSeq lists it as uncharacterized. The record is from RefSeq and is a predicted model, not a curated record. NCBI's taxonomy places the organism in Eukaryota, Metazoa, Mollusca, Cephalopoda, Octopoda, Octopodidae.